GGUAGUCUCCGCACGGCAGAUUGACGCUCACUAGUUUACACAGGAGACAUAUUUACGUGUUUCAGCGCGCCUGUUUGUUGUUUUUUCCCACAAAGUGCCUUGGAAACAUUGUCUGACUUUGGCGGAGUUUAUUGUUAUGUUUGAAUGAAGGUCUCUGCAUCCAUUUGACCACGCCCUCACUUUAUGACAUCGUCAAUGAAACAGAUGGCGAUCAUUCCUGUUCAUCUGGGGGUGAUGGUGCUCAACCUUGCUAGAUGAAGCCCCGUGAUCCAGAUGGGAAGGAACGCAGCCCUUGGCUUAACAAAUCCUCCUUUGUUUCUGGGGUCGCGGGGGUGACUGGAGCCUAUCCCAGCUGCAUUCGGGCGGAAGGCGGGGUACACCCUGGACAAGUCGCCACCUCAUCGCAGGCCAUUCCUUUCAAUUGAACAAAUAACCGCUAAUAUGACAGGCGGUGAGUUA
Nerophis lumbriciformis (worm pipefish) is the source of this 459-nucleotide long non-coding RNA. RefSeq lists it as uncharacterized. Lineage: Eukaryota; Metazoa; Chordata; Actinopteri; Syngnathiformes; Syngnathidae. The record is from RefSeq and is a predicted model, not a curated record.